AGAUGAGCGUCGCACGGGUGAGGAGUGCAUAGCAAUCUACCAAGUAGUGGGGGAUAACCUGGGGAAACCCAGGCUAAUACCGCAUACGUCCUACGGGAGAAAGGGGGNUUCGGGUCCCGCUAUUGGAUGAGCCUAUGUCGGAUUANUNAGUUGGUGAGGUAACGGCUCACCAAGACCGCGAUCCGUAGCUGGUCUGAGAGGAUGAUCAGCCACAUCGGGACUGAGACACGGCCCGAACUCCUACGGGAGGCAGCAGUGGGGAAUAUUGGACAAUGGGGGCAACCCUGAUCCAGCCAUGCCGCGUGUGUGAAGAAGGCCCUCGGGUUGUAAAGCACUUUCAGCGAGGAAGAACGCCUGUCGGUUAAUACCCGGCAGGAAAGACAUCACUCGCAGAAGAAGCACCGGCUAACUCCGUGCCAGCAGCCGCGGUAAUACGGAGGGUGCAAGCGUUAAUCGGAAUUACUGGGCGUAAAGCGCGCGUAGGUGGCUUGAUAAGCCGGUUGUGAAAGCCCCGGGCUCAACCUGGGAACGGCAUCCGGAACUGUCAGGCUAGAGUACAGGAGAGGAAGGUAGAAUUCCCGGUGUAGCGGUGAAAUGCGUAGAGAUCGGGAGGAAUACCAGUGGCGAAGGCGGCCUUCUGGACUGACACUGACACUGAGGUGCGAAAGCNNGGGUAGCAAACAGNAUUANAUACNCUGGUAGUCCACGCNGUAAACGAUGUCGACCAGCCNUUNGGGUGCCUAGCGCACUUUUGUGGCGAAAGUUAACCGCGAAA
RNAcentral lists this ribosomal RNA (775 nucleotides) under Halomonas sp. Its description in RNAcentral is "bacterial SSU rRNA". It matches the Rfam family "Bacterial small subunit ribosomal RNA", at positions 89 to 864 of the family's 1533-position model. Lineage: Bacteria; Pseudomonadati; Pseudomonadota; Gammaproteobacteria; Oceanospirillales; Halomonadaceae. The record is from RNAcentral.